CAUCUCGCGGCAGUUGGCAGUCGUCUUCUAAACCAAGCUCAUUAGUCGGCCAGCAUUCGGCCGCGGGACACGUUUAACAGUGUGGAUCGUAACUUUCCUCUUCGCGCCCCCCACACGCUCGCUCUCGCCUUUGCACCCCCUCCAAAUCUCUCUCUCUCUCUCCUUUCUCUCAUCCUUCCUCGAUCGAAAGAGGCUGCUCUCGUCUCCCGCGCUCGAUACGAGGGGAUGCGGCCAGCCUCGAUGGACUCUCGUGCACGUGCCAGUUGACUCCUCUCUUCGAGGAGAGCGUCGAACCCUUACAACGCGCUCUCUCCAAACGAAAUACAACUUUCGUCCGUUGAAUCCACGAAUCUAAUUAUCUUGAAGCGACGACUCUAACGCGACUCCUCCAGGUGGGUCCCGUCCCUCGAAGAGAUCGGGAGAAGAGAGGGUGGGGGGAGGUGGAGGGGGUGCGUCGGCCGCCGAUGGUCGAGGACGACGUGGUGGAGCAUAGAACGGGCGGACGAACGAGUUCCCGAUGCUGCAACCACCGUCUCCCCUGUUGGAGAUGGCGUCGCUUCGUUUGCCCGACUCGGAGGAGUUCGACGUGGAUCCCCGUCGAAGGAGCAACAACGGGAACGGGCCGGCGACCACGGUGUCCGCCGUCCCACCCGCCACCGUCUCCACCCUCCUCCAGAUGAGGAACGAGGUGGGCGAUUAUCUGAACAGCCUGAUCGUCGAGGCGAUCGCGACAAGCCCGGGCAGCAGGGGGCCGGGGAUGGACGAGCACGAGGGGGCCAGCAGCGCCCUGUUGAACGCGAGCAAAACGGCGGCGGCCGCGGCGAAUUUGACCGCGGGCGACGGCCAGAUACCGGCGGUGGACAGAUUGUACAGGCACAGCAUGGCGAUGUCGGCGGUUUAUUGUGUCGCUUACGUGCUCGUGUUCGUGGUAGGGUUGAUUGGGAACAGUUUCGUGAUCGCCGUUGUGUACAGAUCGCCCCGGAUGAGGACCGUCACCAACUUCUUCAUCGUGAACCUCGCGGUCGCAGACGUCCUGGUCAUCGUCUUCUGCCUACCCGCCACGCUGUUGAGCAACAUAUUCGUGCCAUGGUUGCUGGGAUGGUUCAUGUGUAAAGCUGUCGCUUAUAUACAGGGCGUAUCCGUGGCGGCCUCUGUCUACAGCCUUGUUGCGGUUUCCCUGGACAGGUUCCUGGCGAUCUGGUGGCCGCUAAAGUGUCAGAUAACGAAGAGGAGAGCCCGGAUGAUAAUAGUGGUGAUCUGGUUCAUCGCCCUCACGACAACAUCCCCGUGGCUCCUCUUCUUCGACCUGGUCGCCAUUUACAAAGACGACCCGGACCUGAGGCUCUGCCUCGAGGUGUGGCCGCGCCCGAAAGACGAAACCCUCUUCUUCCUGAUCGGCAAUCUGACCCUGUGCUACGUACUACCCACGAUCCUCAUCUCCCUCUGCUACAUACUGAUCUGGAUCAAGGUGUGGCGGAGGCACAUACCCUCGGACACGAAGGACGCCCAAAUGGAGAGGAUACAGCAGAAGUCGAAGGUGAAGGUGGUGAAAAUGUUGGUCGUGGUCGUAAUACUGUUCGUCCUCUCGUGGCUGCCCCUCUACGUCAUCUUCACUGUGAUCAAGCUGGGCGACGAGCAAAGGGAGGACGAGAUCGUCCCCAUAGCAACGCCGAUCGCCCAAUGGCUGGGAGCGAGCAACUCGUGCAUCAAUCCGAUCCUCUACGCCUUCUUCAACAAAAAGUAUCGGCGAGGCUUCGUCGCGAUUCUGAAGAGCGGCCGCUGCUGCGGCAAGAUCAGGUACUACGAGACGGUGGCGAUGAUGUCCUCGUCCACCAGCAUGAGAAAGUCCUCGUACUACGUGAACAACAACAACAACAACAACAACAACUCGUCGACCAGAAGGACCUUCCACGGCCCACCUGUCCACCAGGAGAGCAACGUCUCGUACAUAUUCAACCACACCGGCGUCUAAAAUCUAAAAUGGUCACACACGUUUUGAUGAGAUUUCACGGUACAACACCCAUGGAGAGGCUGGCUGCCCCCGGAUAAGGGCCGCAGCGUGAGCCGGUCCGAGGUUAAUGUGGGUCACCCACGCGUGAUCGCAACCGAUUGUCGCUCGGAUCGGGCCGAUUACCACCGAAUACGGAAGCGCGUUCUUCACCGACUCGCUUCUUCCACCCCCUCCCUUCUGUUCCUCGUCCAAUUCUAAUCGCGAUGCGAAAAUUGGUAAGUUUUCUUUCGCGAGGUUGUCGUCCCUUGGUCGGGAGUGAAGAAAAAGUAGUAGUCGCGUGCCUGAAUUUUCGAAGCGAGCCCUUCCUCCCGCGGCUCGAGAGAGAGAAAGAGAUCUCGCCUUUUUUCACGAGCAAGCCUUUCUAGAUUUUUAAAGAAGAAAUUUAAGGGACCGAGCUUUUAAUCGGAACUCCACUCGGAUGGCAGGUUCGAUUUUUAAGCUAAACUUUCUCGAUCGAAUGACGAUUUAUUAAGUGGAGUUCUGCGCAGCAAGGAAAGAUGCUGCGUUGAUCUUUCCAGAACCGAUGGUCCAUUUGUAAUGUUGUAAAUUUGUCGCGCGGAACGAGGAGGAGGAGGAGGAAGGGCGAAAGCGAGAGGAGAAAAUGCCGUCAACCGUCAUUGACGAUUAUUACUCGUAAUAAGUCCUUAGCGAAAUAUAAUAAAGUACAGAAAUUUAUCCGUGCAUUGCAUGCUGCGACUCGAGUCAAGACACCUCCUAAUUGCAUAACACGUAACGUUACCUUAUACUCACAUUAUAGCGCGUGUACGCGAGCGACGAAGAUAGAGCGAUAAACGAGCGAAAAAGUAACGAACGCACACCGAGCGAGAUAAGAAGAAUGAGAGAACGUUUCGAGAAUUAUCGAUCGAACACUACCUCCGCAUGCAGAGAAAAAGCAGAAUUACAUAUUAUAUAUAUAUAUAUAUAUAUACACUACUUGUACUUAUUAUUCGUAGUACACGGUCGAUUCCAACAAGUAUAAAAUAUACAUAUAUACACGUACAUAAUAUAUAUAUUUUCUUAUCGGAACGUUAGACGAUCUAGUCGUUUUUUUGGUGACUUCUUACGGUGCCAUUACGCUACGAUAAACGGACGCGCCUGCGCGAACAUUAAUAAUCGUUGAUACGGAUCGAAACGAUCGAUCAAGGAUCGACCAACGAUGCUCUCGUCCGCCGCCGCCGCCGCGUUAUCAACGUUGCCUCGCUCCUUCCAUCACACUCGCCCCCACCUAACCUCUCGCUUGUGUCCCAACACGAACUUGAUCCGACCCAGAGAAAGGCGGAAGCGACCGACUUUCCCGUUCUUUUUUGUGUUUUUUUUUUUUUUUCGUCUCGAAUUAUCCCCGUCUCGAUCGAUCACGUGCGCGACGAAUUAACGCGGUUACUGGCGACAAUAAAACGAUCUUUUACGCUGCAGCAGGGCAGCUACUGUUACCGACUAGUUUCAGAGACCAUGCUUACGUGCGCGCGGCGAAUUGUCCGCGACGACAGCGCCACUUUCGCUGGAUCUACGUACUAUCGUUGGAUAACCAAGAAGAUUUUCUCGUCGUUUCUCUCCUCGUGUACUGCUACGCUGGAAGAAAAAAAAUUAUUUUCACUUAGUUGAAACAUAGCAUUAUUAUUAUAGGUUUAGUAUUAUUAUAUAGUAUUUAGUAUUAUUAUUAAAAUGUAGUUGGGAAGAAGAAGUUUUUUUAAGGAAUUUUCUUUGGUUAUCCAACGUUAUCGUAUUGGUGAUCGUUGGAAAAGGUUUUAUCGUCUUCGAUGAUUUGCUGUUGGCACGUAUUCGUAUUUUUCUAGAGCUCGAUCUCUCCGAAUCGUAAUAUAGAGUAAUUAUACAGGAUGAGUCAGUUUUAUCCACGUCGAAAUUUGCGAAUAUUGUGUAUAUUGUGUGGAGAAUAUAUAUCGUGUAAACAUAGGUUGCUCGAGACUUUUUGGUAGAAAGCAAAAGUAGAUCGAUGUUUAAUUUGUUUAUUACAACUCUUCGAUCGAGCUAUGUUUAUAUAUAACUAUUCCUUUAUUACCAAAAUUUGACUGGAUACAAUUGAGACACUCUGUAUAUGCACAAUUGUCCGUUAGCCACAUCUCGUUCCAAGUCGUCAGUGAGGAGCUGAAGGAGUUCGAUUCGAAAGAACUAUAAAUAUAUCGUUUAAAAACUGGGGAUGAAAGAAGGCUGCAAACUUUAUAUAUUGUCUUUUCGAAACAUCUUGAAAUAAGACGAGAUCUCCUCUAUUGAAAUUUGAUUGAAAAUAAUAAUUUUCCACAACGCAGCCUCUUUCAUAUCCAAGUUUGUUCCACUCUGACGAUUGACCAACGAGCGUUUCGUCGUUCUUCUACGAGACUUUUAUCGGGCAUUUACGUAGCACAUAUCCUUCCUCGAGAGGAUAUCUCGAUCAACUGUGAAUUGUUUUUCCUGUGCAAAGUGUAUACGGUGAACGUUGGAUAAAUUCUUGCUAUUUUUUUCUUCUCAUAAAACUCUUCGCUUUUUUCCCUUCCUAUUUUUAACCGAAUCACAAAAGAACACUUAUAUAUAAUUUUAAAUUAAUUUCCUUCUAGUUUUAUACGCAAAGAGAAUUUCCAUCGCUCGAACAAAAUGGUGGAGCCAUUUAUCCAACGUUUCACCGUUAAAAGAGAGACUCCUCCAACUAUGAAAUGGGAGGGAAAAUGAAUAAUCGUAAAUAAAAAAGGAAGGCAAUAGGGCACAGUGGUCGCGUGUAUUCAAAUUGCUACACGACUUGAGAAUUAUAUAACUUGACUCUUUGUAAUACUUGAUAUGUAAGACGGUGUAACGUAAAAGAAAAAAAAAAAGAAAAAAGAAAAAAAAGAAAAAAAAGUGCUGCGGGAUUUUAUGAUAGAGCAACUAUUUUCGUAAGGUUUUUACACGUGGCGAAGACAAGGAUCUAUACAAUAGAUGUAACGAAAUGCCGUAUAAUAUGCGAGGUAUAAUAUAAUUGUAAUAGGCGGUCGUGCGAGGAAAUAAAUUUAUUCAUAUCUAUAAUCGUAGGCUUAAAACCGAUGCCGACGAAGUCGCGUGACGUUCUUAGAAAGUAAGAAGUAUAUAAAUAUAUAUAAAAGAAAAAGCAAAAACGAAAAAAAAAAAAUAUAUAAGAAUGGAGGAAUGAAGAAAAGAAAUAACGGAUAUUUCCACACGUGUCGUGGAAAUAAAAUAAAUUAUUAUUGCAAUCUCUCGAGAAGCGACUGUAUACGUAAGUUAAUCUAUAUUGUAAGGAUAUUUAUAUAAAUAGCAUAUACAUAUAUAUUAUAUAUAUGUAUAUAUUAUAUAUAUACACAACUAAACGUCUAUCUGCUAUCUCUAUGUAAAUAAUGUAACUUGUAACAUUAUUGUAAGUAUGUAUAUCGUUGCUACGUUGUUACACUAUAUACACCGCUGUUAUUACCUUCGUUCUUAUUCGUUGCCUCCCUCUCUCUCGUCCGAGGGAUACCUUAAGGCUCGUUCACACAAUUGUCUGUGGAUAUUCGUUUAUCGAAACGAUCGAUUGUUGACGAAUUGAUAAUGAAGGAUAAUUCGAAAGGAUAGGAUAUAAUAAUAGUAGUCCAGUUUCAUUUGUACACAGCGCACUCUGUCGAUGGCAUCUCGAACUAUAUGUAAACUUAUCUGAGAGAAAGAGAAACAGAAUUUCCAAGACUAGAGAUUAUAUGGAAAAUUUAAAUGUUAUUACUUUUGGAUGGACUAAAAAAUAUCUCAUUCCAUAUUAUAUUAUUUCUUUCUCUUUCUCCUCACCCUUCGAAACGAUCCAUUUCAUUCGUUGCUCGUGAAAAUAUCCUCGGACAAGCGUCUGUAAACGAUCCACCACUCGUCUCAUCGAGAUUUGUUCUUGAUCGGGGAGCGAAGAAAAAAAAAGAGGUUCGUGAGAUACCCGUCGUUUCGCACAGUCAAAGAAGAAAAACAAAGACUUCUUGCUGUUGUUCUAAAAAAAAAAAAAGGAGUCUAAUAUCGUUGUAUUAUUUAUCAUCUAACAAAAACUCGUUCUCUCGAUCAAACUCGUUCGUUUCGAAUUGUACAUAGGCAUCGUUCGCGAUAUUUGAACACCCUAUAUAUAUAUAUAUACAUAUAUACCGUGCAUCCACUUGUUCCAACGCAAUUUAGAUUUGAUUGAUAUCGAUUGUUAAAUCCCCUCCCUCCCUUUCUCCCGAACUAUUUUGAUAUUUGGAGCGUCCACGGUGUAAAAUGACACUUGUUUUUAGGUAUAUAUAUAUAUAUAUAUACUUUUAGAAAAAGAAAUAAUAUAAAACCGCUCGAUCGACUCGAGUCUUUAUCUAUCUAUCGAAACGCUGUACACGCUGUACAUUGUUGUUGGUAUUUUCGUGUAUUUUCGUAUUUUACGUACACACACUAUUGAUACUAUUUUUUAUAAUAAAUAAAACGACGACGAUGAUCAUUCGCUACACGUCCUUAUAAAGCGAUGAUGAGGAGGUGGAGAAACAGAUGAGAAUGUGAUCGAUUGACUGUACGUAUCCGCGUGGCGUUAAAGACUGGCCAGCAGGUAUUUCGAGGUUUUCUUUUCUUUUCUCACUUUUAUAACAUGUUUCAUAAUGAUAAUGAUAAUUUUUUUAUUUUCGUAUACGAAACGAGGCGAUCAAGUUUGACGUGUAAUAAACUUUGAUCGAUAAGGAUAGGUUCCUCGAUUAAUUAUUAUAAAUUUUCGAUAUUUAGAAAUGAUAUUCGUUGCAAUAAUAUUGUUACAUUUAUUAUUGGAAAUAAUUAAAUUUUCAAAGUAUUCGUAUUAAAGAAUUAUAUUGGAUAUAUCGAUUAAUGUAAUUGUUGUAUUUGUGAAAUUUGAGAAAUUUGAUUUAUACAAAUGUAAUUAUUUACAUUCACUAUUUUAUUUUUUAUUUAACCGCAGAGUUGCCGUAGAUCCGUAGAUCUCGAUAGUGAAAGAAUGUUGUGCAGCAGAGAGAAAUAAACGUGACAUUGAGGAUAAUAUAUCGACGCAUGGCAAUCGAGGAUAAUAAUAAAUUAGCGAAGGUAGAAUUGUGAAACGUCUGUGAGAACGUUAAGUAUAAACUGUAAAGUCUGUCUAUGAUUUUCUUUCAAAAUUAUAUUUCAAUAAAAAUCGAUUGUCAUCGAUGAUGUAUGUAUAUAAGAGAAGACAGUUCAAUUUUUUAAAGAUCUUCACAAGUAUUAAGUAUUAUCAAAUUAAUAAUUAAAUAAGAUGAACUGAUAAAAAGUUUGAAUUAAAUUGUAUUCCAUAGAAUCUAAAAAAUUGAUUGAAUUAAACAAAUAGAAUAUCGUAGAAUACAGGAAAAUCAUUUUGUCUAAAAUAAUUUGUUGAAGAAGAUGAAAAUUAUUAAAAUUUAUAUCAUAAUUUCGAAUUUAUGAUCAAGAUGAUUCCAAAAUUUAUCGUGUUGAAAGAAAAGUUUCUCUUUGCUUCCAAGUUUAAUUUCUUCGAUUUUAAAUGCAACAAUUUCUAUUAUAUUAUUUUUAAAAUUUCAUCCUAUCGCACAAUUUUCAAAUUUAUUCCUCAAUCACAUUCGAACGCAUAAAUUUUAUCAUACUCUUUUUUUCUCAAACUUUGAUCGUUCUAAAAUCCUCCUCGACCAAUAUUGCGCACAUAAAAGUCACAAAGAAUCUAUAAAAAAAAAAAAAAAUAAAUUAGCAUUAAUAUUCAAACGAUAAUUCAAAACCAUAUAACACGAAACAUCAGCUGGCCAGUCGAUAACCGUCAAUAACGUGGUAUCUCGCUGGUGCGACGAUUUCGUUUGCAAACGAGGUUAAAUCGAUUCUCAAACCAAAAAAAAAAAAAAAAAAAAAAGCAACCUCCGGAUCCGUUCCUAUGCUUAUCGUUCACGAAAGCGAAAAUAAAAUAACACGUAUAAAAACGGAUAAUACUGCUGAAUGAAAGUUUUCCUUUGCGCGACGACGAAUCGCUUCGCCACCAAGGGGUGGUUUUUCUAUCCUUGUUCCUUAUUUCGUACGGCGGAUUGAUGGUGGAUCGAGGAACCGCGGACAGAUUCACGUAAUCUGAAUCAUUGCGUAAUCUGCGAAUAUAACGAAGACACGACACACGGUUUGGAAAGUUAGUUUGGGAUGUUUUAUCUUUUAAAUUUGGGAUUGGUUGAAAGGAUUCGAAGGAAAGAAAGAUUUUAUGAUUAUGAAUUUUACUGCAUUCUAUUUCAGAGAAAUGGAAAUUUAUCAAUAUGUGGAAUAUUUAAUUAUUUGUUUUAUUUGUAUUAUUGAAAACAUUUUUCAAAAACAUUUUUAUUAAAUCGAUUUUAAUGCUCUUAAGAUUAUUAUGAAUUAAUUUUCUUUAUUUUAUUUCCAAUUAUCUCUUUAUUUUUAAAAUCUUGGACAAUUUUCGAUUUUCUUUAAUAAAAAUUGUAUUCAGCUUUAAUUUUCAACGUGAUAACUAUUACACGUUUAGAUAAUCUUUAUGCAUAAAUUAAAAACAGAUAAAAAAAUUGGAAAGAGCGAAUCUUUACGUAUCUUUACGAAUUUCAUUGUAUCAAGAAAGAAAAUAUCUCUCUAUUUCUUCCUUCCUUCCUUCCUCCUUCCUUGUUCCUCUUCCUUCUUCUCUUUCAACGCUAUGGGGCCAAAGCGCGUGGUUUCCGCAAAGUUUUCUAAAAUCUGCGAGAAAUUGUACGCGGUUCGCGGCAAAAAAUUUCAAUAGACUUUUCAAUAGAAUUUGAAAUUGUACGUGCAAUAUAUAAAAAAGAAAAAAGAGUGAGAAGAAGAAAAUUGAUUUUUCGAAGCAAACGAAAGGAAAGUUCGUUGAACAGUUUUUUCCCCGCGAAACGUAAGAAAGAAGCGUUUUCUCGAGCCUCUCAUCAAUUCAUCGGAUAUUUUUCUACACGGGUUCGAUUAGAUUUUUCAAAAGCGUGUGGUGGCGUGUGUGUGUAAAUACUAAAACGGCAAUUUUAGAGGAGUAUUGUAUUAAUAUUAUUAUUACAUUAUUUACUAUCGAUUUACAUGAAAAAAAAUGUUUACACAGGCUAAGGUAAAGCAUAAAACAAAAUAUUUCUCUAUAAAUUUACAUCGAAACGAAAAUGGAAAAAAAAACAGGAAAAAAGAAAAAAAUACAAAAAAAGAAGAAGACGAAGAGGAAAAGGAAGAGGAAGAGCAGCAAGUUGUAAAAGUUCUUGGAACAACUGGAUGGAAUACUUGGGGGCGACGAACUCGAGAGCGAGCUAAGCUUUCUGAGAUUGUUCGUGCAAUCACCUCGAUGAAAUAUUUGCAGCAGGGAUGGGACAGUAGAAGAAACUUCGAAACCGAACCAAGAAAUUUCUCGAACUUGGAAACUUUUUUCGAAUGAAACGCUUUGUGAACGAAUAAUCAUUACAUCUCUAACAAUCCAUCCGAAAAUAGAUAAUAGGAUCAAGUUUCUUCGAAGGAUUUUCUUCCAUCUUUUGAUUUUCAGACAGUUUGAAGGUUCGAAAGUUUCGAGAAAUUGAUUGGGAUCGAUCUUUAAUUUCUAGUCCUUGAAGAAACGAAAUAAAAAAAUCUAAUAAGAAGAAGAAGAAGAAGAAAAGAAAAACAAGAAUAUUUAUACCGAUGUAUUUUCCUCGAAAUUAUAUACAGUCUCGAUUUUCCUUCUCACCAAGAGAUUAUUUGAAAACAGUGGUAGAAAGGUGAGAUUGAAAUUGUGAACAAUCGUCUGCGAGGAAGAAUAUUUAUUCAGAGAUCGGGGAAGAAAGAAAGUUUGAACGUGUUCUCGUUGCAAUUCGUUUUCGCCCAGAUAUAUCGAAGCGAGGAACGAUCGAGGAGGAGGAGGAGGAGGAUCGUCGUAACGAUUGGGGCACGAUGCGACUUCUCGUUGAAGAAAGGAACAGAAGCUAUUUAUAUUUCGUUUUCGACAUCGAGCGAAAUCGAGCUUUUAUUCGAUGAUAGAUUUACGCUUUAUCGCGCUACACCGAAUUUAGAAUGGAAAUAUCUUAUCUUAUUUUCUAGCAUUCCCUCCUUUCCCCUCUUAGAGUAAAAGAAAAAAUAAAUACAAUUAUAGCGGGAACAUUAUUGCGGGCAAUUUGUUCGAUUUUAUUAAUUGAAAUCACAUAAUUUCUCUUGAGAUAUAUAUAAAUGUAGAAAAUAUUCAAACAAAAUUAUUUAAAAUUUUACUGCUUGUAAUAAUUUUUUCUUUUUUAAAUUUUUCGUAAUUAAUCUUAGGAAGAAGGAAAAUGAAUAAUAAAAUUGGUUAAAUGUUUUGCGUCUUCUGACAAUGAAAACGAAAUUGAAGAUACAAAUUCUCAUCAAAUUGUCUUCAACGAAAAGAUCCCUCUAUAAUCUUUUUUUUUUUUUUUUUUUUUUUUACCCUAAGCUCUAUUAAAUCCAAAUUGAAAUAUUUAUGCAUUAGGUUGAUUGUAAUCGUUGCAAGCUUACGUAUAUGUAUAAUUAGUAGAAGCGUUUAUAUUCCUGUAGCGGAUGUAGACAACACAGUGAAUUAUUGCUUUUCUCUUCGAGAUAGAAAAAUGUUAAAAAUGUUAACUUGUUGCAAAGUAGCGAUCGAUUUAAAACGACACCGUUUGUUGAUAGACGAACAAAAAAAAGAAAAAAUGAAAAAAAAUGAAAAAAAAAAAAAAAAGAUUAAAAAUACCUAUAUAGAGAUAUCCUUUGAUAAUUGUUAAGUUUAAGAAGGGCUGGUUUUUGGACAGCUUUGCUCGAUCAGUUUGUAGAAAAUGAAAAAAAUGAUCGAAUCCGCACGUAGCAAUUCUUGUUCAGAAUUAUUAUUAUUAUUAUUAUUAUUAUUAUCGUUAUUGUAAUUAUUAUUAUUAUUAUUAUCGUUAAUAGAGAGAGAGAGAAAAUUAUUAUCGUUGCGAAGUUUAUCAUUCGAUGUCUCCACGCGAUGAUUCGAAGGAGGAGAGAAAUAAUUUUGCGAUUUUUGUCGACCGACAAUGUUAAUGAAUUAAUUUUAAAAAAAGAAAAAUUACAAUUAAAAAAAAAUCUAGCACUUUAUCGUCUUACAACUGAAAUAAUUUUAUUACCAUUUUACUUUUAUUCUUGUUAUAAAAUUUUGAAUUGCGAGAUUUGUGGAUUUUUGUGGAUGCAAAACAUGUUCAAAUGUUUGACAGAAAAUAAUAUCUAUAAUUCGUAUUUGUUUCGAUUUUUCGUAUGAAAAAGAUAAGAAGAAAUUACAAAUUUUAUUAUCGAAUCUUCCAAAUAGAGAAAGCACUAUUGAUUGCUGAAAUAUAAUGCCAAUGCAUAUAUUAUGAAUCUGCUUAUUUCUUCUGUAAUAUAAUCAAUGAGACAAGAUGCGAGUGAAGGUUCUGAAUAAGAACGAUAAAAAAAUUACUUUUUACUUUACACGACGAUAUCUCGGGAACCGGAAACUAUAUCGAGAUAAAUGAAAGAGCGUUUUAAAGAGCAAGGAUCCAUGUUUCUAAUCAUCUUUCGUCCAUUGACCUAGGAUUAUUAUCUUCGAAGUUAUAGCGGUUUAAAGUUUUCUUAAUUUUAAUUGAAUUUCUAAGGUAUGUUAGCGAUAACUCUCCGAAAAAUUAUCUUUACAUGACGAUAUCUUGGGAACCGGAAAUCGUACGGAGAUAAACCAAAAAGCAUUUUAAAGAGCAAGGAUCCCUGUUUCUAACGAUCUUUCAUCCAUUGAUCUAGGAUUAUUAUCUUCGAAGUUAUAGCGGUUUAAAGUUUUCCUAAUUUUUAAUAGAAUGCAAUCAAGUUUUACGAUAAAUCACAACACCAUGGAUAUGAUUAUUUUUAAUCUAUUUAGCACAAAUACAGAUCAUGAAAAAAUAUGUAUUUGCACAAAAAUCCACAUUUUAAUUAUACUGUAAAUACACACAUGUGACGAUACAUUAAUUUAUAUUAUAUCGAUUCAAACUUCAUAAUAAAUGUUCGUUUUAAUUAUUGAGAAGACGAUCAAGUGCUACACACACACACACACACACACACACAUAUAUAUAUAUAUAGAUACACGUAAUCUCGUCAAAGAUUAUUUCUCGAAAUCGAUACAACUCGGAUAGAGCGAUUAUCUUAUCUUAUGCACAUGGUAAAAAAAAAAAAAGAAAUAAAAAAUAAGAAACGUAGAUCCCUCGAUUUAAGCUCUAUCAUGAAUCGCGAAGAAAGAAAAAAGAAAAAAAAAAGGAGGAGCCACUAAUCUAGAGAACAAGCAUUUUUAAGUUCCCAUUUUUCCUUUGCUUUGAUUGGUACACGUGUUAUAUGGAUAAGCGGCAUUAUCCGAAUAACAAUGAAAUAAUAGAAACAUACUAGGUAAGGAAAUGUUUGCAGAUGAAAUUGAUAAGUGUUUUAAUAUUGUAUCGAAGCGUGUGUAAUAUUGUAUCUCGCGAAGAAAAAAAAAAAAAAAAACUCGAAAAAAAAAA
This is an RNA transcript of Apis mellifera (honey bee), 12285 nucleotides long. It is a transcript of the gene named SIFamide receptor, with no coding region annotated. The record is from RefSeq and is marked provisional. Lineage: Eukaryota; Metazoa; Arthropoda; Insecta; Hymenoptera; Apidae. The transcript has 4 exons.